Streptococcus thermophilus LMG 18311 is the source of this 1548-nucleotide ribosomal RNA. It matches the Rfam family "Bacterial small subunit ribosomal RNA". The record is from Rfam. NCBI's taxonomy places the organism in Bacteria, Bacillati, Bacillota, Bacilli, Lactobacillales, Streptococcaceae.
AUUAAUGAGAGUUUGAUCCUGGCUCAGGACGAACGCUGGCGGCGUGCCUAAUACAUGCAAGUAGAACGCUGAAGAGAGGAGCUUGCUCUUCUUGGAUGAGUUGCGAACGGGUGAGUAACGCGUAGGUAACCUGCCUUGUAGCGGGGGAUAACUAUUGGAAACGAUAGCUAAUACCGCAUAACAAUGGAUGACACAUGUCAUUUAUUUGAAAGGGGCAAUUGCUCCACUACAAGAUGGACCUGCGUUGUAUUAGCUAGUAGGUGAGGUAAUGGCUCACCUAGGCGACGAUACAUAGCCGACCUGAGAGGGUGAUCGGCCACACUGGGACUGAGACACGGCCCAGACUCCUACGGGAGGCAGCAGUAGGGAAUCUUCGGCAAUGGGGGCAACCCUGACCGAGCAACGCCGCGUGAGUGAAGAAGGUUUUCGGAUCGUAAAGCUCUGUUGUAAGUCAAGAACGGGUGUGAGAGUGGAAAGUUCACACUGUGACGGUAGCUUACCAGAAAGGGACGGCUAACUACGUGCCAGCAGCCGCGGUAAUACGUAGGUCCCGAGCGUUGUCCGGAUUUAUUGGGCGUAAAGCGAGCGCAGGCGGUUUGAUAAGUCUGAAGUUAAAGGCUGUGGCUCAACCAUAGUUCGCUUUGGAAACUGUCAAACUUGAGUGCAGAAGGGGAGAGUGGAAUUCCAUGUGUAGCGGUGAAAUGCGUAGAUAUAUGGAGGAACACCGGUGGCGAAAGCGGCUCUCUGGUCUGUAACUGACGCUGAGGCUCGAAAGCGUGGGGAGCGAACAGGAUUAGAUACCCUGGUAGUCCACGCCGUAAACGAUGAGUGCUAGGUGUUGGAUCCUUUCCGGGAUUCAGUGCCGCAGCUAACGCAUUAAGCACUCCGCCUGGGGAGUACGACCGCAAGGUUGAAACUCAAAGGAAUUGACGGGGGCCCGCACAAGCGGUGGAGCAUGUGGUUUAAUUCGAAGCAACGCGAAGAACCUUACCAGGUCUUGACAUCCCGAUGCUAUUUCUAGAGAUAGAAAGUUACUUCGGUACAUCGGUGACAGGUGGUGCAUGGUUGUCGUCAGCUCGUGUCGUGAGAUGUUGGGUUAAGUCCCGCAACGAGCGCAACCCCUAUUGUUAGUUGCCAUCAUUCAGUUGGGCACUCUAGCGAGACUGCCGGUAAUAAACCGGAGGAAGGUGGGGAUGACGUCAAAUCAUCAUGCCCCUUAUGACCUGGGCUACACACGUGCUACAAUGGUUGGUACAACGAGUUGCGAGUCGGUGACGGCGAGCUAAUCUCUUAAAGCCAAUCUCAGUUCGGAUUGUAGGCUGCAACUCGCCUACAUGAAGUCGGAAUCGCUAGUAAUCGCGGAUCAGCACGCCGCGGUGAAUACGUUCCCGGGCCUUGUACACACCGCCCGUCACACCACGAGAGUUUGUAACACCCGAAGUCGGUGAGGUAACCUUUUGGAGCCAGCCGCCUAAGGUGGGACAGAUGAUUGGGGUGAAGUCGUAACAAGGUAGCCGUAUCGGAAGGUGCGGCUGGAUCACCUCCUUU